This 465-nucleotide ribosomal RNA is filed under the name uncultured bacterium. RNAcentral's name for it is "partial 16S ribosomal RNA". It matches the Rfam family "Bacterial small subunit ribosomal RNA", at positions 28 to 507 of the family's 1533-position model. The record is from RNAcentral.
GACGAACGCUGGCGGCGUGCUUAACACAUGCAAGUCGAACGGAAAGGCCCCGUUGGGGGUACUCGAGCGGCGAACGGGGGAGUAACACGAGCGUAACCAUCCCUUGACUUUGGGAUAACUACAGGAAACGGGGGCUAAUACCGGUAAGGAAUAAUAUCUUCAUGGGGGGGGUUGGAAAGCGUCGGGGGUUUUGGCUGGACUGGCGGGAUAACAGCUUGCUGGUGGGGUAGUGGCUUACCAAGGCGGUGUCGGGUAGCCGGCCUGCGUGGGCGACCGGCCACACUGAGACUGAGAUACGGCCCAGACUGCUACGGGUGGGAGCAGGGGGGAAGAUUGCACAAUGGGCGGCAGCCUGAUGAAGCAAGGCCGCGUGCGGGAUGACGGCCUUCGGGUUGUAAACCGAAUUCAGCAGGGGCGAAGCUUGUGGUGACGGUACCUGCUGAAGAAGCACCGGCUAACUACGUG